CUCCGAAGGGGGCUAGCGUUGUUCGGAAUUACUGGGCGUAAAGCGCGCGUAGGCGGACUGAUCAGUUGGGGGUGAAAUCCCAGGGCUUAACCCUGGAACUGCCUCCAAUACUGUCAGUCUUGAGUUCGGGAGAGGUGAGUGGAAUUCCUAGUGUAGAGGUGAAAUUCGUAGAUAUUAGGAAGAACACCAGUGGCGAAGGCGGCUCACUGGCCCGAUACUGACGCUGAGGCGCGACAGCGUGGGGAGCAAACAGGAUUAGAAACCCCAGUAGUCC
Molecule: ribosomal RNA, 274 nt
Filed under: uncultured bacterium
Lineage: Bacteria
Description: partial 16S ribosomal RNA
Rfam family: Bacterial small subunit ribosomal RNA
Source: RNAcentral